Molecule: ribosomal RNA, 496 nt
Filed under: uncultured bacterium
Lineage: Bacteria
Description: partial 16S ribosomal RNA
Rfam family: Bacterial small subunit ribosomal RNA
Source: RNAcentral
AUUGAACGCUGGCGGCAUGCCUUACACAUGCAAGUCGAACGGUAGAGGGGGCAACCCCUUGAGAGUGGCGAACGGGUGAGUAAUGCAUCGGAACGUGCCCAGUCGUGGGGGAUAACGCAGCGAAAGCUGUGCUAAUACCGCAUACGAUCUCUGGAUGAAAGCGGGGGACCCAAAGGCCUCGCGCGAUUGGAGCGGCCGAUGUCAGAUUAGGUAGUUGGUGGGGUAAAGGCUCACCAAGCCAACGAUCUGUAGAUGGUCUGAGAGGACGACCAGCAAGACUGUGACGGAGACGCGGCCCAGACUCUUACGGGUGGCAGCAUGUGGGAAUUUUGGAAAAGGGGCGCAUGCUUGUUCCAUGAAUGCCGUGUGCAGGAAGAAGGCCUUCGAGUUGUAAACUGCUUGUGUACGGAACGAAAAGGUCUUGGUUAAUACCCUGGCCACAUGACGGUACCGUAAGAAUAAGCACCGGCUAACUACGUGCCAGCCGCCGCAGUAA